This 212-nucleotide long non-coding RNA is filed under the name Carica papaya (papaya). RNAcentral's name for it is "long non-coding RNA (CPAP_LNC008178)". Lineage: Eukaryota; Viridiplantae; Streptophyta; Magnoliopsida; Brassicales; Caricaceae. The record is from RNAcentral.
UUAGGUUUACAUGAUGUUUUUCAUGUCUCAAUGCGCAAGAAAUACCACCCUGAUCCUUCUAAUGUUAUUCAUCGUGAUGAGUAUAGAUACAGGCCUAUAUGACCUAUGAGGAGGUUCCUAUGAAAAUUCUUGUGUGGAUUGAUAAGACCUUACGUAAUAAGAUGACUCCUCGUGAUGAGGUAUAGGUACAGGCCGAUAUGACCUAUGAGGAG